AGGGGCAUAGUUUAAGGGCAGAAUAGAGGUCUCCAAAACCUUUGGUGUGGGUUCGAAUCCUACUGCCCCUG
This 71-nucleotide transfer RNA is filed under the name Sporosarcina pasteurii. It matches the Rfam family "tRNA". Rfam says of the family: Transfer RNA (tRNA) molecules are approximately 80 nucleotides in length. Their secondary structure includes four short double-helical elements and three loops (D, anti-codon, and T loops). Further hydrogen bonds mediate the characteristic L-shaped molecular structure. tRNAs have two regions of fundamental functional importance: the anti-codon, which is responsible for specific mRNA codon recognition, and the 3' end, to which the tRNAs corresponding amino acid is attached (by aminoacyl-tRNA synthetases). tRNAs cope with the degeneracy of the genetic code in two manners: having more than one tRNA (with a specific anti-codon) for a particular amino acid; and 'wobble' base-pairing, i.e. permitting non-standard base-pairing at the 3rd anti-codon position. RNAcentral also lists the same sequence under 2 other names. The record is from Rfam by way of RNAcentral. Lineage: Bacteria; Bacillati; Bacillota; Bacilli; Caryophanales; Caryophanaceae.